Hibiscus syriacus is the source of this 1190-nucleotide long non-coding RNA. RefSeq lists it as uncharacterized. Lineage: Eukaryota; Viridiplantae; Streptophyta; Magnoliopsida; Malvales; Malvaceae. The record is from RefSeq and is a predicted model, not a curated record. The transcript is spliced from 2 exons.
CAGCAAACACCAAUUAGCCUUCUUCGAAGAAAGAAGAGCUCUUUAUUUCCUCUAUUUCUCUCAAAAUACCCAACACUUCAAUACCCAAAAAAAAAAUCAUAAAACAGGUAGAAAAAAACUGGGAUUAAACCUUUACUUACUUCCGCUGCUUAUCUCUUUAAUCUGUGAUUUUAUAAUCUAAUUUUUUUAUUAAUUUGAGGGAGAAAAAAAACGAUAUUGUUCCUUCCUAUAAUGCCCAAUUUGUUGCGGGCUAGGGUUUUCAUCCGGAUCAACGGAUUGGGGGAAUUUCCCGAAUUGGGAACUGAUUAGGGUUCUGAUCAGAGUAUGAAUGAGCUCAACCUCUCGUUUUUGCAGUAUCGGAUUGAGGAGCUAUUUCUCUCGAGCUUUGGUUUUUAAACGGAUUGCUUAAGGGAAAUGGUUAUUGGAAAGCUUUUGGACGUUGAAGAAGAUUGCUUUCAUGAUUACUUGCGUAGAUAGUGAUUCAAAAGCUUGAGGAUUUAGUUGUUUAGACAAAAGGGUGUUUGGGUUUUUAGUGAUAUUUUUAUGUGGUUGAUCUCAGUUGGUGGAUGAUUUUGGCAUUGGGUUGUGUUAUUGGGAGAAGAAGGUGAUGAUUCUUUAUUGUGCUGCAAACAACAGAGAGUGUCAGAUUUUACUGGACUAAUUUUGUUUCUUAAAACCCCAUUUGGUUUAUCAUAGUUUUUGAGCUAGAAUUCUUGAUCAGAAGAGCAUUCUUGAAGUUAUAUUUCUAUUUUGGGGCAUUGUUGAAGUAGCUUAGGGAAAGAUAAGAGUAGGUUUAGCAGUGAUUGGAGACUUUGCUGCGGUGAUUUUGUCAUUCGAAGUGAUUUGUUUAGUGUUAGAUAGUUGAAUUGGGGCUACAUUUGAGGUUAGGGAGAUUAAAGAGCUUGGUGGAUUUAGGAACUUCUUUGAGCUAUCGAGAGUGACAGGGAGUUCAUGAGGAAACAUUGAAGCUGGAAAUGUAUGCAGGGAUAUGGUGCAUGGAUAGGAGCAUAGUUACUUGUUGUUCUCUUUCUGGAGCAUUGCUACUGGAAGAUAAUCCAAGUGUUUUUGCGUUCGGAAGGCAUUAUCGUUUCGUGUUCUAAACUUCUGUGAAAUGUCGCGUUGCUUUCCUUUCCCACCACCAGGAUAUGAAAAGAAGGCUAGGACCAAUGACGUGGACUUGCUAAAUAAGG